Molecule: ribosomal RNA, 468 nt
Filed under: Gemella morbillorum
Lineage: Bacteria; Bacillati; Bacillota; Bacilli; Caryophanales; Gemellaceae
Description: bacterial SSU rRNA
Rfam family: Bacterial small subunit ribosomal RNA
Source: RNAcentral
GACGAACGCUGGCGGCGUGCCUAAUACAUGCAAGUCGAGCGAAGUUUUUCUGGUGCUUGCACUAGAAAAACUUAGCGGCGAACGGGUGAGUAACACGUAAAGAACCUGCCUCAUAGACUGGGACAACUAUUGGAAACGAUAGCUAAUACCGGAUAACAGCAUUAACUGCAUGGUUGAUGUUUAAAAGUUGGUUAUGCUAACACUAUGAGAUGGCUUUGCGGUGCAUUAGCUAGUUGGUGGGGUAAAGGCCUACCAAGGCGACGAUGCAUAGCCGACCUGAGAGGGUGAUCGGCCACACUGGGACUGAGACACGGCCCAGACUCCUACGGGAGGCAGCAGUAGGGAAUCUUCCGCAAUGGGCGAAAGCCUGACGGAGCAACGCCGCGUGAGUGAAGAAGGAUUUCGGUUCGUAAAGCUCUGUUGUUAGGGAAGAAUGGAUAUGUAGUAACUAUACAUAUAAGAGACGAC